AGUGAACGCUGGCGGUAGGCCUAACACAUGCAAGUCGAACGGCAGCACAGUAAGAGCUUGCUCUUACGGGUUGCGAGUGGCGGACGGGUGAGGAAUACAUCGGAAUCUACUUUUUCGUGGGGGAUAACGUAGGGAAACUUACGCUAAUAUCGCAUACGACCUUCGGGUGAAAGCAGGGGAUCUUCUGACCUUGCGCGAUUGAAUGAGCCGAUGUCGGAUUAGCUAGUUGGCGGGGUAAAGGCCCACCAAGGCGACGAUCCGUAGCUGGACUGAGAGGAUGAUCGGCCACACUGGAACUGAGACACGGUCCAGACUCCUACGGGAGGCAGCAGUGGGGAAUAUUGGACAAUGGGGGCAAGCCUGAUACAGCCAUACCGAGUGGGUGAAGAAGGCGUUCGGGUUGUAAAGCCCUUUUGUUGGGAAAGAAAAGCAGCAGGUUAAUACCCCGCUGUUCUGACGGUAACCAAAGAAUAAGCACCGGCUAACUUCGUG
This 492-nucleotide ribosomal RNA is filed under the name uncultured bacterium. RNAcentral describes it as "partial 16S ribosomal RNA". It matches the Rfam family "Bacterial small subunit ribosomal RNA", at positions 29 to 507 of the family's 1533-position model. The record is from RNAcentral.